GUGCCAGCAGCCGCGGUAAUUCCAGCUCCAAUAGCGUAUAUUAAAGUUGUUGUGGUUAAAAAGCUCGUAGUUGAACCUUGGGCCUGGCUGGCCGGUCCGCCUCACCGCGUGCACUGGUCCGGCCGGGCCUUUCCCUCUGUGGAACCCCAUACCCUUCACUGGGCGUGGCGGGGAAACAGGACAUUUACUUUGAAAAAAUUAGAGUGCUCCAGGCAGGCCUAUGCUCGAAUACAUUAGCAUGGAAUAAUAAAAUAGGACGCGCGGUUCUAUUUUGUUGGUUUAUAGGACCGCCGUAAUGAUUAAUAGGGACAGUCGGGGGCAUCAGUAUUCAACUGUCAGAGGUGAAAUUCUUGGAUCAGUUGAAGACUAACUACUGCGAAAGCAUUUGCCAAGGAUGUUUUCAUUAAUCAGGAACGAAAGUUAGGGGAUCGAAGACGAUCAGAUACCGUCGUAGUCUUAACCAUAAACUAUGCCGACUAGGGAUCGGACGGUGUUAUUCAUGACCCGUUCGGCACCUUACGAGAAAUCAAAGUGCUUGGGCUCCAGGGGGAGUAUGGUCGCAAGGCUGAAACUUAAAGAAAUUGACGGAAGGGCACCACCAGGGGUGCAGCCUGCGGCUUAAUUUGACUCAACACGGGGAAACUCACCAGGUCCAGACACAAUAAGGAUUGACAGAUUGAGAGCUCUUUUCUUGAUUUUGUGGGUGGUGGUGCAUGGUCGUUCUUAGUUGGUGGGGUGACUUGUCUGCUUAAUUGCGAUAACGAACGAGACCUAACCUGCUAAAUAGCCCGCAUUGCUCUGGCAGUGCGCUGGCUUCUUAGAGGGACUUUCGGCUCAAGCCGAAGGAAGGUUUGA
RNAcentral lists this ribosomal RNA (855 nucleotides) under uncultured fungus. Its description in RNAcentral is "SSU rRNA". It matches the Rfam family "Eukaryotic small subunit ribosomal RNA", at positions 564 to 1449 of the family's 1831-position model. Lineage: Eukaryota; Fungi. The record is from RNAcentral.